UACGUAGGGGGCAAGCGUUAUCCGGAUUUACUGGGUGUAAAGGGAGCGCAGACGGCAGUGCAAGUCUGGAGUGAAAGCCCGGGGCCCAACCCCGGGACUGCUCUGGAAACUGUACGGCUAGAGUACGGGAGGGGCAGGCGGAAUUCCUAGUGUAGCGGUGAAAUGCGUAGAUAUUAGGAGGAACACCGGCGGCGAAGGCGGCCUGCUGGACCGAAACUGACGUUGAGGCUCGAAAGUGUGGGGAGCAAACAGG
This 253-nucleotide ribosomal RNA is filed under the name uncultured bacterium. RNAcentral's name for it is "partial 16S ribosomal RNA". It matches the Rfam family "Bacterial small subunit ribosomal RNA", at positions 524 to 776 of the family's 1533-position model. The record is from RNAcentral.